RNAcentral lists this transfer RNA (76 nucleotides) under Dehalococcoidia bacterium. RNAcentral describes it as "tRNA-Ile". It matches the Rfam family "tRNA". From Rfam's summary of the family: Transfer RNA (tRNA) molecules are approximately 80 nucleotides in length. Their secondary structure includes four short double-helical elements and three loops (D, anti-codon, and T loops). RNAcentral also lists the same sequence under 1 other name. Lineage: Bacteria; Bacillati; Chloroflexota; Dehalococcoidia. The record is from RNAcentral.
GGGCUCGUAGCUCAGUGGUUAGAGCGGUCGGCUCAUAACCGAUUGGUCGCAGGUUCGAAUCCUGCCGAGCCCACCA